UUAUUGUCUUUUGUAUUUCAU
Molecule: non-coding RNA, 21 nt
Organism: Caenorhabditis elegans
Lineage: Eukaryota; Metazoa; Nematoda; Chromadorea; Rhabditida; Rhabditidae
Source: Ensembl